CUUGGGUGACGAGUGGCGGACGGGUGAGUAAUGUCUGGGGAUCUGCCCGAUAGAGGGGGAUAACCACUGGAAACGGUGGCUAAUACCGCAUAACGUCGCAAGACCAAAGAGGGGGACCUUCGGGCCUCUCACUAUCGGAUGAACCCAGAUGGGAUUAGCUAGUAGGCGGGGUAAUGGCCCACCUAGGCGACGAUCCCUAGCUGGUCUGAGAGGAUGACCAGCCACACUGGAACUGAGACACGGUCCAGACUCCUACGGGAGGCAGCAGUGGGGAAUAUUGCACAAUGGGCGCAAGCCUGAUGCAGCCAUGCCGCGUGUAUGAAGAAGGCCUUCGGGUUGUAAAGUACUUUCAGCGGGGAGGAAGGCGAUGCGGUUAAUAACCGCGUCGAUUGACGUUACCCGCAGAAGAAGCACCGGCUAACUCCGUGCCAGCAGCCGCGGUAAUACGGAGGGUGCAAGCGUUAAUCGGAAUUACUGGGCGUAAAGCGCACGCAGGCGGUCUGUUAAGUCAGAUGUGAAAUCCCCGGGCUUAACCUGGGAACUGCAUUUGAAACUGGCAGGCUUGAGUCUUGUAGAGGGGGGUAGAAUUCCAGGUGUAGCGGUGAAAUGCGUAGAGAUCUGGAGGAAUACCGGUGGCGAAGGCGGCCCCCUGGACAAAGACUGACGCUC
RNAcentral lists this ribosomal RNA (669 nucleotides) under Pantoea sp. b75(2010). RNAcentral's name for it is "bacterial SSU rRNA". It matches the Rfam family "Bacterial small subunit ribosomal RNA", at positions 83 to 748 of the family's 1533-position model. Lineage: Bacteria; Pseudomonadati; Pseudomonadota; Gammaproteobacteria; Enterobacterales; Erwiniaceae. The record is from RNAcentral.